Molecule: ribosomal RNA, 467 nt
Filed under: uncultured bacterium
Lineage: Bacteria
Description: partial 16S ribosomal RNA
Rfam family: Bacterial small subunit ribosomal RNA
Source: RNAcentral
GACGAACGCUGGCGGCGUGCUUAACACAUGCAAGUCGAACGGAAAGGCCCUGCUUUUGUGGGGUGCUCGAGUGGCGAACGGGUGAGUAACACGUGAGUAACCUGCCCUUGACUUUGGGAUAACUUCAGGAAACUGGGGCUAAUACCGGAUAGGAGCUCCUGCUGCAUGGUGGGGGUUGGAAAGUUUCGGCGGUUGGGGAUGGACUCGCGGCUUAUCAGCUUGUUGGUGGGGUAGUGGCUUACCAAGGCUUUGACGGGUAGCCGGCCUGAGAGGGUGACCGGCCACAUUGGGACUGAGAUACGGCCCAGACUCCUACGGGAGGCAGCAGUGGGAAAUAUUGCACAAUGGGCGGAAGCCGGAUGCAGCAACGCCGCGUGCGGGAUGACGGCCUUCGGGUUGUAAACCGCUUUCGCCUGUGACGAAGCGUGAGUGACGGUAAUGGGGAAAGAAGCACCGGCUAACUACGU